AUCCCAUGGUGCGGACAUGCUUGAACAUAUUCUUGCAUGCGCUCCCAUGCUUCAGGGACAGAUUCUUGGUUUUCCUGUUGAAAGUUAGAAAUUUUACUACAAAAAAGAUU
Molecule: small nucleolar RNA, 110 nt
Organism: Sorghum bicolor (sorghum)
Lineage: Eukaryota; Viridiplantae; Streptophyta; Magnoliopsida; Poales; Poaceae
Rfam family: Plant small nucleolar RNA R71
About the family: R71 is a member of the C/D box family of snoRNAs containing the C (UGAUGA) and D (CUGA) box motifs. Multiple nearly identical copies of this snoRNA have been identified in Arabidopsis, and it is thought to function as a 2'-O-ribose methylation guide for 18S ribosomal RNA.
Source: Rfam